Molecule: ribosomal RNA, 435 nt
Filed under: uncultured bacterium
Lineage: Bacteria
Description: partial 16S ribosomal RNA
Rfam family: Bacterial small subunit ribosomal RNA
Source: RNAcentral
AGCGAACGCUGGCGGCAGGCUUAACACAUGCAAGUCGAACGGGCAUCUUCGGAUGUCAGUGGCAGACGGGUGAGUAACACGUGGGAACGUACCCUUCGGUUCGGAAUAACUCAGGGAAACUUGAGCUAAUACCGGAUACGCCCUUUUGGGGAAAGGUUUACUGCCGAAGGAUCGGCACGCGUCUGAUUAGCUUGUUGGUGGGGUAACGGCCUACCAAGGCGACGAUCAGUAGCUGGUCUGAGAGGAUGAUCAGCCACACUGGGACUGAGACACGGCCCAGACUCCUACGGGAGGCAGCAGUGGGGAAUAUUGGACAAUGGGCGCAAGCCUGAUCCAGCCAUGCCGCGUGAGUGAUGAAGGCCUUAGGGUUGUAAAGCUCUUUUGUCCGGGACGAUAAUGACGGUACCGGAAGAAUAAGCCCCGGCUAACUUCGUG